This 26-nucleotide transfer RNA is filed under the name Xantusia bolsonae. RNAcentral's name for it is "partial tRNA-Ser". Lineage: Eukaryota; Metazoa; Chordata; Lepidosauria; Squamata; Xantusiidae. The record is from RNAcentral. RNAcentral also lists the same sequence under 5 other names.
AAGGAAUGUAUUACAACAAAAAGAAC